Molecule: non-coding RNA, 55 nt
Organism: Firmicutes bacterium CAG:137
Lineage: Bacteria; Bacillati; Bacillota
Source: Rfam
UGACCGCUUUCCUCCGGAAAGCUAAGGCUACACGGACGGCCGGGUCAAAUGCCGA